Non-coding RNA from Gemmatimonas sp. SG8_38_2, 71 nucleotides. Lineage: Bacteria; Pseudomonadati; Gemmatimonadota; Gemmatimonadia; Gemmatimonadales; Gemmatimonadaceae. The record is from Rfam.
UGGCCCGUUGUCUAAUGGCAGGACGCUGGACUUUGGAUCCAGAGGUGGAGGUUCGACUCCUCCCGGGCCAA